This 478-nucleotide ribosomal RNA is filed under the name uncultured bacterium. Its description in RNAcentral is "partial 16S ribosomal RNA". It matches the Rfam family "Bacterial small subunit ribosomal RNA", at positions 28 to 523 of the family's 1533-position model. The record is from RNAcentral.
GACGAACGCUGGCGGCGUGCUUAACACAUGCAAGUCGAACGGUAAGGCCCUUCGGGGUACACGAGUGGCGAACGGGUGAGUAACACGUGGGUGAUCUGCCCUGCACUUCGGGAUAAGCCUGGGAAACUGGGUCUAAUACCGGAUAGGACCAUUGCCUGCAUGGGUGGUGGUGGAAAGCUUUUGCGGUGUGGGAUGGGCCCGCGGCCUAUCAGCUUGUUGGUGGGGUGAUGGCCUACCAAGGCGACGACGGGUAGCCGGCCUGAGAGGGUGACCGGCCACAGUGGGACUGAGAUACGGCCCAGACUCCUACGGGAGGCAGCAGUGGGGAAGAUUGCACAAUGGGCGCAAGCCUGAUGCAGCGACGCCGCGUGAGGGAUGACGGCCUUCGGGUUGUAAACCUCUUUCAGCAUCGACGAAGCGCAAGUGACGGUAGGUGCAGAAGAAGGACCGGCCAACUACGUGCCAGCCGCCGCCGUAA